RNAcentral lists this ribosomal RNA (483 nucleotides) under uncultured bacterium. RNAcentral's name for it is "partial 16S ribosomal RNA". It matches the Rfam family "Bacterial small subunit ribosomal RNA", at positions 29 to 523 of the family's 1533-position model. The record is from RNAcentral.
AGUGAACGCUGGCGGCGUGCUUAACACAUGCAAGUCGAACGAGAACGGAUUAUAGCUUGCUAUAAUUGUCAGCUAAGUGGCGCACGGGUGAGUAAUGUAUAGGUAAUAUGCCUCUUACUAAGGGAUAACAAAUGGAAACGUUUGCUAAUACCUUAUACUCCUUAUUAACAGAAGUUAAUAAGGGAAAGAUUUAUUGGUAAGAGAUUAGCCUGUAUUGUAUCAGUUAGUUGGUGGGGUAAUGGCUUACCAAGACUAUGACACAUAACUGGUUUGAGAGGAUGAUCAGUCACACUGGAACUGAGACACGGACCAGACUCCUACGGGAGGCAGCAGUGGGGAAUAUUGCACAAUGGACGAAAGUCUGAUGCAGCAACGCCGCGUGGAGGAUGACACAUUUCGGUGCGUAAACUCCUUUAUAUGAGAAGAUAAUGACGGUAUUAUAUGAAUAAGCACCGGCUAACUCCGUGCCAGCAGCCGCCGUAA